GCAAACUUGGUCAUUUAGAGGAAGUAAAAGUCGUAACAAGGUUUCCGUAGGUGAACCUGCGGAAGGAUCAUUAACGAAUGUCGAGUCGGCCGACCGUGCUGGCGGAAACGCAUGUGCAUGUCGGUCGCAAACAUCCACACACCUGUGAAUCUAUGGCCUCGGGUCUUUUGAUCUGGGGCAACUUUUUUUACCCACUCUGUGUAAAAGAAUGUGAUUGCGUAAAUGCAAAGUAACAACUUUCAACAACGGAUCUCUUGGCUCUCGCAUCGAUGAAGAACGCAGC
RNAcentral lists this unclassified non-coding RNA (283 nucleotides) under uncultured fungus. RNAcentral describes it as "partial contains small subunit ribosomal RNA, internal transcribed spacer 1, and 5.8S ribosomal RNA". The stretch from base 1 to 73 matches the Rfam family "Eukaryotic small subunit ribosomal RNA", at positions 1759 to 1831 of the family's 1831-position model. The record is from RNAcentral. Lineage: Eukaryota; Fungi.